This 374-nucleotide ribosomal RNA is filed under the name uncultured bacterium. Its description in RNAcentral is "bacterial SSU rRNA". It matches the Rfam family "Bacterial small subunit ribosomal RNA", at positions 523 to 898 of the family's 1533-position model. The record is from RNAcentral.
AUACGUAGGGGGCGAGCGUUGUCCGGAUUUACUGGGCGUAAAGAGUUCGUAGGCGGCUUUUCAAGUCAGGGGUUAAAGCCCUCGGCUCAACCGAGGUAAGCCCUUGAAACUGUAGAGCUUGAGUGCAGGAGAGGAGAGUGGAAUUCCUAGUGUAGCGGUGAAAUGCGUAGAUAUUAGGAAGAACACCAGUGGCGAAGGCGACUCUCUGGACUGUAACUGACGCUGAGGAACGAAAGCGUGGGGAGCGAACAGGAUUAGAUACCCUGGUAGUCCACGCCGUAAACGAUGAGUGCUAGGUGUCGGGGUCGACAGGCUUCGGUGCCGCAGUUAACACAUUAAGCACUCCGCCUGGGGAGUACGAUCGCAAGAUUGAA